GCCUGCUGUGAUGUAUAAAUAUAGAUUUGUGAUGUCAAAUAUGUUGUGUAAAUAUAGUUUGGAAAAACCAGUAACCAUAAACUUAAAAUUAUUUUAAUUUUAGAUUAAAUAAUUAGAGAAUUUAGUAAUUCAGUUUCUUAGUCAUGGAAAACAGACAACAGUGCUCUGUUUAGCUCCAUUGGAAUCAAGCUAGGAAGUGAAUGUCAUUUUGCAACAUAUACAUCGUUGCUUGGAAUCGAAACUUUUGAAGAGAUUCCUGAGAAUGAAAGAGAAAUAUUAAUGUGGAGGACUGGGCUCAAUAAUCAAUGUAAAACCAACAACUUGUCUACAUCAUAACCAUAUUUAUUUGAAGCGUUAUGGAACUAAAUUAACACGGUGCUGCAAUCCAUUUAAUACUCAUAACAAAGUUAUAAAAGGCAGUCUUCGUGAAAUCAACUUGGAUUCAGCAAAGUACUUAUGCGGUAAAGGCAAGUUCGUAGUGCCAGGUGAAAAAUUUUGUCCACAAUGCAGACAUAAAUUAGCAUCUAGUGAAGAAUCAGAAGAGAACGAGUUGAAGAUAAAAUUAACUGAAGAUAAUAUGAAAAAAAAAAACUAUACUGGAAUCAACAAGAUUAUUGCUCAACAGUACUUUGUGUGAACUUGAAGUGUCUCCACUAAAUUUCUUUACUUAAAGAUAAAUCAAGUUGAAGAAGCAGUUAUUAAGAAACUUGCAACUGCUCUGGAUGUCAUCGAACCCGAUCUUGUUGCACCUAACCACUAUGAAGUUCUAAAAGAAGUUGAAACCAAAGCUGGCGAUCUAGAUUUCCAUGUUGAAUGCAUGAAAGAAAAACUUUAAGUUUCUAACAGAAGGCAGCAAUUUCAAAUUUUGACAUUGACACCGAAAUCUUGGUCAAUCAGAAAAGCAGCAAAAGAGUUUUCAGUUUCCAAACACAAAAAUCAAAAUACAAAGCUUUUACGUGACCAAAAAAGCGUUAUUGCAUACCCCAACAUGGUUGAACGGCAUCGAAUCAGUAAAGAUGUCAUAGAACUUGUAAAGCUUUUUACUGUGUCGAUGAGUAUUCAAGGCAAAUGCCAGGUAAAAAAGACUGUGUAAAUGUUGGGAAA
Hydra vulgaris (swiftwater hydra) is the source of this 1104-nucleotide non-coding RNA. The record is from RefSeq and is a predicted model, not a curated record. Lineage: Eukaryota; Metazoa; Cnidaria; Hydrozoa; Anthoathecata; Hydridae.